This 484-nucleotide ribosomal RNA is filed under the name uncultured bacterium. Its description in RNAcentral is "partial 16S ribosomal RNA". It matches the Rfam family "Bacterial small subunit ribosomal RNA", at positions 30 to 507 of the family's 1533-position model. The record is from RNAcentral.
AUUGAACGCUGGCGGCAGGCCUAACACAUGCAAGUCGAGCGGAUGAUGGGAGCUUGCUCCUGGAUUCAGCGGCGGACGGGUGAGUAAUGCCUAGGAAUCUGCCUGGUAGCGGGGGAUAACGUCCGGAAACGGGCGCUUAUACCGCAUACGUCGUGUGAGAGCAAGUGGGGGGUCUUCGGACGUCUUGCUAUCAGAUUAGGAUAGAACGGAUUAGCUAGUUGGUGGGGUAAAGGCCUACCGAGGAGACGAUCCGUAACUGGUCUGAGAGGAUGAUCCGUCACACUGGAACUGAGACAGGGUCCAGACUCCUGCGGGAGGCAGCAGUGGGGAAUAUUGGACGAGGGGGGAGAGGCGGAUCCAGCCAUGCGGCGUGUGUGAAGAAGGUCUUCGGAUUGUAAAGCACUGUAAGUUGGGGGGAAGGGCAGUAAGUUAAUACCUUGCUGUUUUGACGUUACCAACAGAAUAAGCACCGGCUAACUUCGUG